GGCCCAGAUCGUUUACCGUGAAAAAAUUAGAGUGUUCAAAGCAGGCAGAUCCAAUUUUCUGCCACCGAAUACAUUAGCAUGGGAUAAUGGAAUAGGACCCUGUCCUCCUAUUUUCAGUUGGUUUUGGCAGCGCGAGGACUAGGGUAAUGAUUAAUAGGGAUAGUUGGGGGCAUUAAUAUUUAAUUGUCAGAGGUGAAAUUCUUGGAUUUAUGAAAGAUAACUUCUGCGAAAGCAUCUGCCAGGGAUGUUUUCAUUAAUCAAGAACGAAAGUUAGGGGAUCGAAGACGAUCAGAUACCGUCGUAGUCUUAACCAUAAACGAUGCCGACCAGCGAUUAGGAGACGUUGAAUACAAAACACCACCAUGUAUAAUUCAGCACAUGACAUCCUCACGGGUGGUUGUGUGUUGAUUGUAUAUGGCUAUCGGUGAAUGACUCCCCUAGCAGCUUGUGAGA
RNAcentral lists this ribosomal RNA (453 nucleotides) under Acanthamoeba sp. RNAcentral's name for it is "bacterial SSU rRNA". It matches the Rfam family "Eukaryotic small subunit ribosomal RNA", at positions 740 to 1095 of the family's 1831-position model. Lineage: Eukaryota; Discosea; Longamoebia; Acanthamoebidae. The record is from RNAcentral.